This 406-nucleotide ribosomal RNA is filed under the name uncultured bacterium. Its description in RNAcentral is "partial 16S ribosomal RNA". It matches the Rfam family "Bacterial small subunit ribosomal RNA", at positions 29 to 526 of the family's 1533-position model. The record is from RNAcentral.
AUUGAACGCUGGCGGCAGGCCUAACACAUGCAAGUCGAACGAGGGGCGGACUGGUGAGCAAUGUCUGGGGAACUGCCUGAUGGAGGGGGCUAACUCCUGGCAACGGUAGCUAAUACCGCAUACUAUCGGCUCUGCCCAUAUGGGAUGAGCUCGUGGGUGGGGUAACGGCUCAUCUAGGCGACGCUCCCUAGCGGGUCUGAGAGGAUGACCAGGCAGACGGGGACGGAGACAGGGGCCAGACUCAGACGGGAGGAAGCAGUGGGGAAUAUUGCAGAAGGGGGGAAAGCCUGAUGCAGCCAUGCGGCGUGUAUGAAGAAGGACUUCGGGUUGGAAAGUACUGUAAGCGGGGAGGCGGUACCCGCAGAAGAAGCACCGGCUAACUCCGUGCCAGCAGCCGCGGUAAUAC